UAAUACGGAGGGUGCAAGCGUUGUCCGGAUUUAUUGGGUUUAAAGGGUGCGUAGGCGGUCUUUUAAGUCAGUGGUGAAAGCCUCCAGCUCAACUGGAGAAAUGCCAUUGAUACUGGAAGACUUGAGUAUAGUUGAGGUAGGCGGAAUUGACAGUGUAGCGGUGAAAUGCAUAGAUAUUGUCAAGAACACCGAUUGCGAAGGCAGCUUACUAAACUAUAACUGACGCUGAGGCACGAAAGUGCGGGGAUCAAACAGGAUUAGAUACCCUGGUAGUCCGCACCGUAAACGAUGAAGACUCGAUGUGUGCGAUAUACAGUACGCGUCCAAGCGAAAGCGUUAAGUCUUCCACCUGGGAAGUACGAUCGCAAGAUUG
Molecule: ribosomal RNA, 373 nt
Filed under: uncultured bacterium
Lineage: Bacteria
Description: bacterial SSU rRNA
Rfam family: Bacterial small subunit ribosomal RNA
Source: RNAcentral